UGGGGAAUAUUGCACAAUGGGCGAAAGCCUGAUGCAGCGACGCCGCGUGAGGGAUGACGGCCUUCGGGUUGUAAACCUCUUUCAGUAGGGACGAAGCGCAAGUGACGGUACCUGCAGAAGAAGCACCGGCUAACUACGUGCCAGCAGCCGCGGUAAUACGUAGGGUGCGAGCGUUGUCCGGAAUUACUGGGCGUAAAGAGCUCGUAGGCGGUUUGUCACGUCGUCUGUGAAAUCCUAGGGCUUAACCCUGUACGUGCAGGCGAUACGGGCUGACUUGAGUACUACAGGGGAGACUGGAAUUUCUGGUGUAGCGGUGGAAUGCACAGAUAUCAGGAAGAACACCGAUGGAGAAGGCAGGUCUCUGGGUAGUAACUGACGCUGAGGAGCGAAAGCAUGGGUAGCGAACAGG
This 409-nucleotide ribosomal RNA is filed under the name bacterium. RNAcentral describes it as "partial 16S ribosomal RNA". It matches the Rfam family "Bacterial small subunit ribosomal RNA", at positions 355 to 776 of the family's 1533-position model. The record is from RNAcentral.